RNAcentral lists this ribosomal RNA (459 nucleotides) under uncultured bacterium. Its description in RNAcentral is "partial 16S ribosomal RNA". It matches the Rfam family "Bacterial small subunit ribosomal RNA", at positions 29 to 507 of the family's 1533-position model. The record is from RNAcentral.
AGCGAACGCUGGCGGCAGGCCUAACACAUGCAAGUCGAACGAACCUUUCGGGGUUAGUGGCGGACGGGUGAGUCACACGUGGGAACGUGCCUUUAGGUUCGGAAUAACUCAGGGAAACUUGUGCUAAUACCGAAUGUGCCCUUCUGGGGAAAGAUUUAUCGCCUUUAGAGCGGCCCGCGUCGGAUUAGCUAGUUGGUUGAGGUAAUGGCUCACCCAGGCGACGGUCAGUAGCUGGUCUGAGAGGAUGAUCAGCCACAUUCGAACGGAGACACGGCCCAAACUGUGACGGGAGGAACCGGCCGAGAAUCUUGGGGGAGGAGCGAGGGGGAACUCGAGCAAAACGGCGUAAGUGAAGAAGGCCCUCGGCUGGGAAAAGGAUGUGGUUGUGAAAGAAAAAAAUUUUUUUAACCGGCGGCUGUAAUGACGGUACCCAAAGAAAAAGCCCCGGCUAACUUCGUG